This 650-nucleotide ribosomal RNA is filed under the name uncultured marine bacterium. RNAcentral's name for it is "bacterial SSU rRNA". It matches the Rfam family "Bacterial small subunit ribosomal RNA", at positions 74 to 713 of the family's 1533-position model. The record is from RNAcentral.
UUUUGCUUGCAAAAUCUCGUGCUGACGAGCGGCGGACGGGUGAGUAACGCGUAGGAAUCUACCUAGUAGAAGGGGAUAGCCCGAGGAAACUCGGAUUAAUACCGUAUACGUCCUUAGGGAGAAAGAGGGCUGAGCUUGAUGCUCUCGCUAUUAGAUGAGCCUGCGUAAGAUUAGCUUGUUGGUGAGGUAAAGGCUCACCAAGGCUACGAUCUUUAGCUGGUCUGAGAGGACGAUCAGCCACAUUGGGACUGAGACACGGCCCAGACUCCUACGGGAGGCAGCAGUGGGGAAUAUUGGACAAUGGGCGCAAGCCUGAUCCAGCCAUACCGCGUGUGUGAAGAAGGCUUUCGGGUUGUAAAGCACUUUAAGUGAGGAAGAAAAGAUAGUAGUUAAUACCUGUUAUCCGUGACAUUACUCACAGAAUAAGGACCGGCUAAUUCCGUGCCAGCAGCCGCGGUAAUACGGAAGGUCCAAGCGUUAAUCGGAAUUACUGGGCGUAAAGCGCGCGUAGGUGGUUUAUCAAGUUGGUUGUGAAAGCCCCGGGCUUAACCUGGGAACUGCAGCCAAAACUGAUUCACUAGAGUACGAAAGAGGAAAGUAGAAUUCACAGUGUAGCGGUGGAAUGCGUAGAUAUUGUGAAGAAUACCAAU